AGCCAGACUCCUACGGGAGGCAGCAGUGAGGAAUAUUGGUCAAUGGGCGAGAGCCUGAACCAGCCAAGUCGCGUGAAGGAUGACGGCCCUACGGGUUGUAAACUUCUUUUGUCAGGGAGCAAUUGAGUCCACGUGUGGGCUUAGCGAGAGUACCUGAAGAAAAAGCAUCGGCUAACUCCGUGCCAGCAGCCGCGGUAAUACGGAGGAUGCGAGCGUUAUCCGGAUUUACUGGGUGUAAAGGGAGCGUAGACGGCAGCGCAAGUCUGGAGUGAAAUGCCGGGGCCCAACCCCGGAACUGCUUUGGAAACUGUGCAGCUGGAGUGCAGGAGAGGUAAGCGGAAUUCCUAGUGUAGCGGUGAAAUGCGUAGAUAUUAGGAGGAACACCAGUGGCGAAGGCGGCUUACUGGACUGUAACUGACGUUGAGGCUCGAAAGCGUGGGGAGCAAACAGGAUUAGAUACCCGCGUAA
Molecule: ribosomal RNA, 468 nt
Filed under: uncultured bacterium
Lineage: Bacteria
Description: bacterial SSU rRNA
Rfam family: Bacterial small subunit ribosomal RNA
Source: RNAcentral